Molecule: long non-coding RNA, 1277 nt
Organism: Planococcus citri (citrus mealybug)
Lineage: Eukaryota; Metazoa; Arthropoda; Insecta; Hemiptera; Pseudococcidae
Exons: 6
Source: RefSeq, a predicted model, not a curated record
UAAUAACUAAAAAAGAUAUACGAGUUGAAAAACCUUGAAAGUGGGAAAAAAAUAAAGGGCAUAGAUAAACGUAUCGUAUCGCAGAAACGUAAGUGCUAGCCGCUAGGAAAUGACCAUACAAGUACCUAUCAAAUGGUUUAAAUACGAGUGAAUUUUACAGCUAGAUCAAUUCAAAAAUGUUUAUAAGUAAAUAAGUAAGAAAAUUGAACGACUUACCAAUACCAACAGAAUGCUGAGAAAUUUUGAAGGCAUCGAUUAGUGAAGUACGAUGCUGCGCGUUGAAGUAUUCUUCAUUUCAAUUUGUAUUACCACCUUUGUCUGCUACUGCUACCCAUGGGAACCCCCGCCAGUCCCACCUCCUCCAGAACCAGAAUGGGCUGAGGGUGAGGUUGAUCCAAAGGAAUGGAGCUGGUAUGACGUCGAACAAGGAACGACAGGUAAAUGGGAGAGAGCGGCUCCCAGACAAUGUUAUUCCACCUAUCACUGUCAUCCUGAUGAAACAUGUGUCAGAGACGAUCUCCCCGGUAUGGUUACUCCGAUCGGAUGGUGCGUAUCGAACGAACCGAAUCCAUACGACUAGGCUCAAGCCCCCAUAAAUCAAGUACAGCUGGAAUUUGCAGUUCUAGAAGAAUCGGUGCAAAUAUGUAGAUGCAAAGGCAGCUAGGUACCACAACUCAGCAUAACAUAGGUAUAUCAUCUGUACGAUGUAUUGAACUUCAGUUAUACUCUGAGAUCAAAUAUACUCGUAUUGUUCGCUGACUUUACUAUUCCAUUAAUAAAAAACAGUCCACAAAACCACGUUCAGACUCAUGAGAAAAAGAACCGCACAGAACGAGAUGUCGUGAUCCAGAGAAAUGGUUCGAUUGCUCGAAGAGGAAGAUCGGAAAUCUCAAGGUGACUAAUUUACAAAAAAAUCCAUCGCACAAGAACGGACGAUGGAUUUCACCAGCUAGGAGCUCAACAAGUUCAAGCAAUCUGCUAUCUGAACAUACAGCAUCAUUCGUUCUCAUUCUUAUCUCAUCUUCCUCUCGUAAGCUUCCGUGAACGAAAUCGAAAUCGUAAUCUUUCAAAAUACAGUAAUUAUUAUUAACUUCUGAUAUCUAUACAUACGCAUGUAAUAAUGUUUACUUUGUAUAAGGUCAUUUCAACGAAUUUUUCAUACAUCAAUUUACGUACGUAUCACCGGUUCAAAUUCAACUCGUAGGUAUUUAGGUAAUUUGAAACGACUUUUCAUAAUAUUAUACUGAAUUUUUUGUAAAAAUUUUAUUAUGAAGACA